Xyrichtys novacula (pearly razorfish) is the source of this 255-nucleotide non-coding RNA. Lineage: Eukaryota; Metazoa; Chordata; Actinopteri; Labriformes; Labridae. The record is from the annotation of a GenBank genome assembly.
GAGAAGACAGAGGGAGGUGAGGAGAGAGGGAGAGGAAAGGUGAAAUAGCGUAACAGGACAGAGAAGGUACAUACUGUAUAUGUGUGUGUGUGUUACAGGGUGUCACUAGCAGUGUGACAUCUGCUGGGAGUCAGCACCCCUGUUGCUCCCUCCCUUGCGCCCUCCCCCUCCCUCUUCAUCCCUCCCCUAACUCCCUUCCUCCCUCUCUCCCUCCCCCUCCUCCUCACCCCGUGCCCUGGAGUCGCGCCAGGGCUC